Molecule: ribosomal RNA, 301 nt
Filed under: uncultured bacterium
Lineage: Bacteria
Description: partial 16S ribosomal RNA
Rfam family: Bacterial small subunit ribosomal RNA
Source: RNAcentral
CAGCCGCCGCGGGAAAACGUAGGUGGCAAGCGUUGUCCGAAAUUAUUGGGCGUAAAGGGCUCGCAGGCGGUUUCUUAAGUCUGAUGUGAAAGCCCCCGGCUCAACCGGGGAGGGUCAUUGGAAACUGGGAAACUUGAGUGCAGAAGAGGAGAGUGGAAUUCCACGUGUAGCGGUGAAAUGCGUAGAGAUGUGGAGGAACACCAGUGGCGAAGGCGACUCUCUGGUCUGUAACUGACGCUGAGGAGCGAAAGCGUGGGGAGCGAACAGGAUUAGAUACCCCAGUAGUCCCUGUCUCUUAUAC